Long non-coding RNA from Esox lucius (northern pike), 2087 nucleotides. NCBI's taxonomy places the organism in Eukaryota, Metazoa, Chordata, Actinopteri, Esociformes, Esocidae. The record is from Ensembl.
GUAUGUGCAAUAUCUUCGUACUGAUUUUGUACAUUCGCAACAAGCAAAGUGUCUCUUCUGUUUGUUUGGUGUGUCUUCAUGUUGUGUCAUUUAUUUAUUUAUUCUGUUUGGACCCCUGUCGUUUUCUCUCAGUGGCUUAAUGUGUGGCUGUUAUAUUGGUUCUCUGAGAAACACAGUCCUAGAAUUCAGUGGAAUGUCUAAUAAGUGAUUUUGCAUGUAAUGACGUUAUUGAUGUGAGGCUAUCCUUGGCACAUUGUAUAACAAAUCAGUGUUACCAUAGCGAUUGAAGUGCAAUCACAUAUGAAAAAACAGACUUGUAGGCCUCCUACGCGUUCAAGUCAGAUAUGUUUUCCAGGAAGAGAUUCAGGUGAAAAUAUCUUUUUUUCCAUUUCAGAUUAUAUACGUACACCGUUCACAGUGGGAAGAACGAGGAAUGUGUGUAUAUAUUUUAAUAAAGGAAUAUGCUUCCCUAGAGGCAGAACAGAAAUAUUUUGCUGGAUAAGCACAUAUGAAGGAGCGCUUUCAUUUUUCAGGAAAUGUAGAUCUAAUAUACAACAAAGAAUUGUGAGGGAACUGGGUUAUGUGUAAAGAAAAAACUUUCUACAUUCUACAAAAUAAGAGUCUAUUAUCGUGUGUACAAUAAAGUAAAAGUCAACUGUUUGUCCCAAUAUUCAGGGUGUAAAUGUAUUUUAACAUUCACUAAGAAAACCAUAGUCACACUUGAGGCUUAGGACAGACUUAACACAUGUCUGAUCAUGUUUGACCCAUGAUUAUAUAACAGAAAAAUAAGGACAUUUUGAACCUGAAUAUAUCCUAUCUGGACCAUGAAUAAUCCAUUGAAUGUCUUUCUAAUGAUUCUAUAUUUUCUUUUUUGUAACUCAGAAAGGGUUGGACAAUGUAAAACAAAAUGAAGAUGAAAUAUAUACAUGUUUCUUUUUGUCAUAGAGCUUGGAGAAAUCCACAGUCAUCUGUAGUCUGAGGAAUACCCCAUGCACUGCAUGGACCUAAUGCAUUGUGUCCUUUUUCACUGUGAGCUGACGGAACAGGUCAGCCUGGAAACUUAAUUGGGUUCUUUUUUAUUUUAGUUUUUGCAGGGUUUUGAUUUGAAGUCUCCUGAUUUCUUCAUGCUGUCCCAAGUUUAGGUUGGAGCUCAGCAUUCAUUUCAUCUACAUAUACACAGCCAUUGUAAAAACAACAAAACAUAAACAUCAAUGCACUUCUUUUAUUAUUGAGUCGAGGGCUUUAGUUGUGUAAAUAGGAGAAAAGUGUUGAUUGUGGAUUUCUGAAAAGGGUGAUUUAUCUAAAAUCAAGAUGAGAGGGGACCAAGAGAGAAUGAGGAUCUGUACAUAGUAUGUAUAUUGUCACUACCCCAAUCUAAUAUCUGCUGUGGAGAUCAGGGUGGUAUAUUCCUACCACUUCUUAUGGUUCAAUAUGAUUCUCAACAUAUCGCUUGUAAUGAACAGUCAACCUCCAACUGUAAUGUAACAGUCAUUCGCUUUGGAUCUCAAAGACAGACUGUUAUAACGUUCACUGCCUCCUACGAAACACAUGCACACACACGUUUCCUCUCAUCCCAUGCUGCAAGCUGUUCUGUCAGGCGUGAGACACACUUUUAAAAAGGGAACGAUAAGAGUGGCCUCAUUUCAGUGUGCAUUCAGUUUGUCCAGUGUGUAGCGAGUCAGUAAGACCCUGUUGUAAAACUUCAACUGUGACAAUGUCAAGAACGCUAAAUAAACAAAUAUGACUUAUGGUAUGAAUGUGUUGGUUUUUGGAUUCUAAUAUGCAAUGUAAGUCAUUCUUUUGUUGUAAUGUUUUGAUAGUGCUGUUUACUUCUUAAAUACGUGUUGCAUAUUUAUCAGCAAGGUUUAAAAAAAGAAAAGUGAAAAAUAAGGAACAUCGUGUGUGUUUGAUCUGUGUUAUGGUUAGUAAACUGGCAGCAAUACACAGCAUGACCACAAGAGGGCAGGCAUAUGAACAGAGGUGAAGGUGUCAGUGCAACAUAGUGGUUUACUUGGUUGUGCAGUCUAAAUUGUAUUGGGAGUUAAAUCUCAAGUUAGGCCAACCAAUACACAAAAUUCAUAUUAAUU